GGAGACAUUAGGGCAAUAACUUUAAGAGUGUGACAUUGAUUCUCCUCUGCCUAAGAUGAAUAUAUGGUCAUUCCUUGAAGCAGGAAGAUGAAUCAGUUCUCAGGUGACCCAUGAAUAGUUAAUCCCUUGCUGCCAGAGGGAUGCUAACACCGCCCACGUGCUGCAGCAGGACUUUGGAAGGGGAACCAGCACUGUAAUGAAGUGUUGGGUUGGCUCAAGUCUUGUCUGGACCACAAACCAUUUUUCAACCACUAGUGUGCCUUUAAAACCCAAACCAACUGUGAGAGUGGUUUUCUACUUUGAUUCUAGAUGGGAAAAUAUUUUGCUUUUUUGGUGGAUGACAGUGUCAGGUCCCAAAUGGAUUUGGUUUCAUCCUCCAGCACGCAUGCAUAUAACGUGAAACAUGCCCACACUCUGCAAGGGCCACAGCCACCCCACCAUUAUGUUCCAAGGCAAAUAUGCGUCCGCGGGUCCCCGGGAAAGUAAAGGAGUUUCACAUUGAGGAGCCGAGCCACACAGUCUAGCAGUUCUGAUGUCUCUCCAAGGCCCACAGAUCCUGGUCUACUAACUUAAGGCCCCUUUUGUCUAAAAUAGUGAUGUACAUUAAAUGCAAAGGGCAAAUGGAACCAUUGAAAAGUACUUUUUGCAUCCAAAACAGCCAACGCUUUGGUGCCUGCUAUGUGUCAGACACUGAUUCUUCUGUCAUCCUUAUUCUACUGAUGAGGCAACUGAGGCAGCUUCAGAGAGUUCGAGUAACCUGCGGAUCACACAACUAGGAAGUAAGAGAGCUGGAACUUGACGUUGGGCUGUUGACCUCCAGAAAUGGUGUUUUUUCCAGUACUCAGUGCUGCCUCUGACUCCAUUGUGAUGGUUGAUUUUAUGUGUCAACUUGACUGGGCCCAGGGGUACCCAGAUAUUUGGUCAAACAUUAUUCUGGGUGUUUCUGUGAGGGCGUUUUGGGUGAGAUUAACAUUUAAAUUGGUAGACUGAGUAAAGCAGAUGGCCCUCUAUGAUAUGGCCAGGCCUCAUCCAAUCCAUUGAAAGCCUGAAUGGAACAAAAAGGCCAACCCUCCCUCAGUAGGAGGAAAUUUCGUCUGCUUGACUGCAUUCAAACUAGGACGUCAACUUUUUCCUGCCUUUGGACUUGAAUAGAAACAUCAGCUCUUCCUAGAUCUUCAACCUGCCAGGCUUCAGAUUGAAGUUUAUACCAUCAGCUCUCUUGGUUCUUGGGCCUUUGGACCCAGACUGUAAGUGCACCAUCCGUUCUCUUGGGUCUUGCUUGCUGACUCACCCUGCAGAUUUGGGGACUUAUCAGCCUCUAAUUCUGUGAGCCAAUUCCUUCUAAUAUAUCUCUCUAUACGCAUCCUGUCUCACUGGAAGAACCCUGAUACGGUUAGGCUUUGUGUCCUCAUUCAAAUCUCAUCUUGAAUUGUAAAUCCCAUAAUCCCCAUAAUCCCCAUGUGUCAGGGGAGGGAUCAGGUGGAGGUAAUUGCAUCAUGGGAGCAGUUUCCCCUGUGCUCUUCUCACGAUAGUGAAAGAGUUCUCACAAGAUCUGAUGGUUUUAUAAGGGGCUCUUCCCCCUUUGCUCUGCACUUCCCCUUCCUGCUGCCUUGUGGCCUUGUGAAGAAGGUGUCUUGCUUCCCCUUUGCCCUCCUCCAUGAUUGUAAGUUUCCUGAGGCCUCCCCAGUCAUGCAGAACUGUGAGUCAAUUAAACCUCUGUCCUUUAUAAAUUACCCAGUCUCAGGCGGUUCUUUAUACCAGUGUGAGAAUGGACUAAUACAAACCCUAAUACAUCAAUUUCUUUUUUGAUCUACCAGGCAAUCCUGUGAAGUAGAUGGGUCAGGUAAUAUCAUUGCUAUUUGACAGAUGAGGGAGAACAAGACCUAGCAAAUGAACACGCAUGUGUUACAUGCUCACAUAGUCACACACAUGCUCGCAUGCGUGCGCGUGCACACACACACACACACACAUAUACAUACAGACCACGCACUUCAGGACGAAGGUCAGAAUCCAGGUCUAAUCAUUUAAGUAAGUGCUUCUUCCCCAGGGUGU
Molecule: long non-coding RNA, 2052 nt
Filed under: Homo sapiens (human)
Lineage: Eukaryota; Metazoa; Chordata; Mammalia; Primates; Hominidae
Description: PREDICTED lncRNA (TCONS_00172859)
Source: RNAcentral